RNAcentral lists this ribosomal RNA (429 nucleotides) under Chloroflexota bacterium. RNAcentral's name for it is "Chloroflexi bacterium partial 16S ribosomal RNA". It matches the Rfam family "Bacterial small subunit ribosomal RNA", at positions 355 to 776 of the family's 1533-position model. Lineage: Bacteria; Bacillati; Chloroflexota. The record is from RNAcentral.
UGGGGAAUAUUGCACAAUGGGCGCAAGCCUGAUGCAGCCAUGCCGCGUGUAUGAAGAAGGCCUUCGGGUUGUAAAGUACUUUCAGCGGGGAGGAAGGGAGUAAAGUUAAUACCUUUGCUCAUUGACGUUACCCGCAGAAGAAGCACCGGCUAACUCCGUGCCAGCAGCCGCGGUAAUACGGAGGGUGCAAGCGUUAAUCGGAAUUACUGGGCGUAAAGCGCACGCAGGCGGUUUGUUAAGUCAGAUGUGAAAUCCCCGGGCUCAACCUGGGAAGUGCAUCUGAUACUGGCAAGCUUGAGUCUCGUAGAGGGGGGUAGAAUUCCCGGUGUGGCGGUGAAAUGCGUAGAGAUCUGGAGGAAUACCGGUGGCGAGGGCGGCCCCCUGGACGAAGACUGACGCUCAGGUGCGAAAGCGUGGGGAGCAAACAGG